UACGUAAGGUGCGAGCGUUAAUCGGAAUUACUGGGCGUAAAGCGUGCGCAGGCGGCGGCUCAAGUCAGGUGUGAAAUCCCCGGGCUUAACCUGGGAAUUGCGCUUGAAACUAGGUCGCUAGAGUGUGGCAGAGGGGGGUGGAAUUCCACGUGUAGCAGUGAAAUGCGUAGAGAUGUGGAGGAACACCGAUGGCGAAGGCAGCCCCCUGGGUCAACACUGACGCUCAUGCACGAAAGCGUGGGGAGCAAACAGG
Molecule: ribosomal RNA, 253 nt
Filed under: uncultured bacterium
Lineage: Bacteria
Description: partial 16S ribosomal RNA
Rfam family: Bacterial small subunit ribosomal RNA
Source: RNAcentral